GAAGAUGAGGGCCGAAGACUCAGAUCUAAGUGACCCAGCGAUGAAAGUGCAGCGCAUGGUGACGCACUCUGUGGAGCUUCUGCUGCUGAAUGAGUGAGCUGCUGUCCGGACCAGUGGGAGCUUUUUGAAGCACCUGGGAAUCCUGAAUCUCCAUGGCAGCUGUCUCAAAUACCCAGCUCCCCCGGGAUGCCUGCGGAGACAGACAAAACACACAGGAGCCUGCCAAGCCGGUCCACCAUCGAGCUUUGCUCUCUCUGCAGCAAAGAGCUACAUCUACAGACACCACCACCAAGCGACUGAAGCACUGAUCAAAGCGGAG
This is a long non-coding RNA of Trachemys scripta elegans, 319 nucleotides long. RefSeq lists it as uncharacterized. The transcript is spliced from 3 exons. NCBI's taxonomy places the organism in Eukaryota, Metazoa, Chordata, Testudines, Emydidae. The record is from RefSeq and is a predicted model, not a curated record.